UACAGAGGUCUCAAGCGUUGUUCGGAUUCAUUGGGCGUAAAGGGUGCGUAGGUGGCGCCGUAAGUCAGGUGUGAAAUUUCGGAGCUUAACUCCGAAACUGCAUUUGAUACUGCGGUGCUUGAGGACUGGAGAGGAGACUGGAAUUCACGGUGUAGCAGUGAAAUGCGUAGAUAUCGAGAGGAACACCGGUGGCGAAGGCGGCCUUCUGGACAGUAACUGACGCUGAGACGCGAAAGCGUGGGGAGCAAACAGG
RNAcentral lists this ribosomal RNA (253 nucleotides) under uncultured bacterium. RNAcentral's name for it is "partial 16S ribosomal RNA". It matches the Rfam family "Bacterial small subunit ribosomal RNA", at positions 524 to 776 of the family's 1533-position model. The record is from RNAcentral.